This 404-nucleotide ribosomal RNA is filed under the name uncultured bacterium. RNAcentral's name for it is "bacterial SSU rRNA". It matches the Rfam family "Bacterial small subunit ribosomal RNA", at positions 355 to 776 of the family's 1533-position model. The record is from RNAcentral.
UGGGGGAUAUUGCACAAUGGGGGGAACCCUGAUGCAGCGACGCCGCGUGGGCGAAGAAGUAUUUCGGUAUGUAAAGCCCUAUCAGCAGGGAAGAAAGCGACGGUACCUGAGUAAGAAGCCCCGGCUAAAUACGUGCCAGCAGCCGCGGUAAUACGUAUGGGGCAAGCGUUAUCCGGAUUUACUGGGUGUAAAGGGAGCGCAGGCGGCCUGGCAAGUCUGAUGUGAAAUACCGGGGCCCAACCCCGGGGCUGCAUUGGAAACUGCCAGGCUGGAGUGCCGGAGAGGCAGGCGGAAUUCCUAGUGUAGCGGUGAAAUGCGUAGAUAUUAGGAGGAACACCAGUGGCGAAGGCGGCCUGCUGGACGGUGACUGACGCUGAGGCUCGAAAGCGUGGGGAGCAAACAGG